GUCGAACGAAGCGCCUGCGGCGGACCCCUCCGGGGGAAAGCCGCAGGGGACUGAGUGGCGGACGGGUGAGCAACGCGUGGGCAACCUGCCCCGUACCGGGGGACAACAGCCGGGAACGGCUGCUAAUACCGCAUAUUCCCGCGGGGCCGCAUGGCCCUGCGGGGAAAGCUCCGGCAGUACGGGAUGGGCCCGCGUCUGAUUAGCUUGUUGGCGGGGUAACGGCCCACCAAGGCUGCGAUCAGUAGCCGGCCUGAGAGGGCGGCCGGCCACAUUGGGACUGAGACACGGCCCAGACUCCUGCGGGAGGCAGCAGUGGGGGAUAUUGCACAAUGGGGGGAACCCUGAUGCACCGACGCCGCGUGAACGAAGAAAUAUUUCGGUAUGUAAAGUUCUAUCAGCAGGGAAGAAAAUGACAAAAACAUGACCAAGAAGCCCCGGCUAACUACGUGCCAGCAGCCGCGGUAAUACGUAGGGGGCGAGCGUUAUCCGGAUUCACUGGGCGUAAAGGGAGCGCAGGCGGCACGGCAAGUCCGGUGUGAAAGCCCGGGGCCCAACCCCGGGACUGCACUGGAAACUGCCGGGCUGGAGUGUCGGAGGGGCAGGCGGAAUUCCUAGUGUAGCGGUGAAAUGCGUAGAUAUUAGGGGGAACACCGGUGGCGAAGGCGGCCUGCUGGACGACGACUGACGCUGAGGCUCGAAAGCGUGGGG
This 708-nucleotide ribosomal RNA is filed under the name uncultured bacterium. Its description in RNAcentral is "bacterial SSU rRNA". It matches the Rfam family "Bacterial small subunit ribosomal RNA", at positions 61 to 766 of the family's 1533-position model. The record is from RNAcentral.